GACGAACGCUGGCGGCGUGCUUAACACAUGCAAGUCGAGCGGUAAGGCCCUUUCGGGGGUACACGAGCGGCGAACGGGUGAGUAACACGUGGGUGACCUGCCUUUAGCUCUGGGAUAAGCCUGGGAAACUGGGUCUAAUACCGGAUACGACUCCGCGGUGCAUGCUGUGGGGUGGAAAGCCUUGUGCGGCUGGAGAUGGGCCCGCGGCCUAUCAGCUUGUUGGUGGGGUGAUGGCCUACCAAGGCGACGACGGGUAGCCGGCCUGAGAGGGCGACCGGCCACACUGGGACUGAGACACGGCCCAGACUCCUACGGGAGGCAGCAGUGGGGAAUCUUGCGCAAUGGGCGAAAGCCUGACGCAGCGACGCCGCGUGA
This 375-nucleotide ribosomal RNA is filed under the name uncultured bacterium. RNAcentral's name for it is "bacterial SSU rRNA". It matches the Rfam family "Bacterial small subunit ribosomal RNA", at positions 28 to 404 of the family's 1533-position model. The record is from RNAcentral.